This is a long non-coding RNA of Anguilla rostrata (American eel), 1470 nucleotides long. RefSeq lists it as uncharacterized. NCBI's taxonomy places the organism in Eukaryota, Metazoa, Chordata, Actinopteri, Anguilliformes, Anguillidae. The record is from RefSeq and is a predicted model, not a curated record. The transcript has 2 exons.
GAUCGGAAAAGUUUAGCUCUAGCUGAUUUCCGGACAAACUGCCUGCUCAAACGUGUGCAUGGGGAUUUAAUUUAGAGUCAAUUUUCACUAAGGAAUUAAGAUAAUUUACGUUUAUUUAUCGUCACACUUUGCUAAAGAGAACAUAGCUCUGGUGUCUGGAAAUAAACGUCACUGAACUCAAUAGUAUAAGAACGCUAAAACUAAACUGAAACACACAAAAAAAAAAAACUCAAACGCCUAUGUGCAUCAAACGAAAGCUAUAGCCGACUACCGAUGAUGAAGAAGACCUUCACAAUAUGUAAAAACCCACUACCUGUCCACUGGGGAGAACGCAAAACGGUUUACCUGGUCGGUUUGCAUACUUGCAGCGGAGCCGUAUCUGCAGUAGGUAAAUACCAGAGUGGAUGAACAAGGUGCGAGGGACCUCUAAGAGAUCACCCCUCUGGAAAGAAGUCGCAUGACUGUGUUUCCUGCACUUGUCGUCGUCAGACCAAGUGCAUUUAAAUAGAUUAAAAAUGGAAAAGAGACACAGUUUCUCAAGAAGAAACGUUACUGAGUCAAACAUUUUGAAAGUUUCUGAAUCAUCUCUUAUCGGACCUUUUAUCCUGAAGUGUACAAGGAGGGGACCGGAUUACAUCAUGCAUUACCGAUGAUGCUAUUGGCUGCAAUGAUGGCUUCAGUUCAGUGCCACGUCGAGCGAACAGCAUUAAUAUUUGUAAACUCAUAACCCAGUACAAAGCUCUCAAACUUCGUUUGCACGUUUUCAGAAGUUACAUUUUCAGCAUCAGCAUUUCUGCUGUAUUGAGGUGUUCAUGUUUUUUUAAUUUUUUUUAUUUCACACAGGUCUUUUAACCAAGUGUAUCUGGUUCAAAAUGGAUGAUGCUAAACAUAUAAAGUUACAAAAUUAAAUGUUGGCCAUCUAAAAUUGGUUUUCGGCAGGUAACUUUGUAUUUACUUGCCUCAUUCACAAAUUAAACCUUUUGAACAAAUUCCACCAGUUCCAUUCCCCAAAGAUUCCUGAAAGACUGACUAUUCCUGAAAAAUGUGUAUGUAACUCAAACGGCUUCUAUGUUGUCCUUAUAAUUAUUAUAAUGUCACCAGUAUAUGGUCCUGAGCUACAUGCACUGAUUUCCCAAAGGGAUGCAGCAUGCAAACUCUGCCUCUCGCUUUACAACAGUUAUACACAACCAUGUGUGUGUUUUUUUUUUGUUUGUUUUUUUCGUUGGAGGGGGUGGUGAUGUUAAUGGCAAAAUCAAAAGGGAAAUGCAAAAUCAGAUGGAGUGGUGCUUUAGUGACAAGAAGAAAUAUGUUGGAAUAUGGCAGUAAUUAACUUUCUGGAUGCAAUGCACAACAACCCCUUUCUUGUAAUGACCCCAGGAGAAUUAACUAAUAGAAGGAGAGUUAUGCAGUAAAAAAAUACUAAAAUAUAGUUUUAUCUUCUUUAUUUAAUUGGAGGACCAAAGAUAAAAU